Molecule: ribosomal RNA, 465 nt
Filed under: Vreelandella stevensii
Lineage: Bacteria; Pseudomonadati; Pseudomonadota; Gammaproteobacteria; Oceanospirillales; Halomonadaceae
Description: partial 16S ribosomal RNA
Rfam family: Bacterial small subunit ribosomal RNA
Source: RNAcentral
CCUACGGGGGGCUGCAGUGGGGAAUAUUGGACAAUGGGGGGAACCCUGAUCCAGCCAUGCCGCGUGUGUGAAGAAGGCCCUCGGGUUGUAAAGCACUUUCAGUGAGGAAGAACGCCUGGUGGUUAAUACCCAUCAGGAAAGACAUCACUCACAGAAGAAGCACCGGCUAACUCCGUGCCAGCAGCCGCGGUAAUACGGAGGGUGCGAGCGUUAAUCGGAAUUACUGGGCGUAAAGCGCGCGUAGGUGGCUUGAUAAGCCGGUUGUGAAAGCCCCGGGCUCAACCUGGGAACGACAUCCGGAACUGUCAAGCUAGAGUGCAGGAGAGGAAGGUAGAAUUCCCGGUGUAGCGGUGAAAUGCGUAGAGAUCGGGAGGAAUACCAGUGGCGAAGGCGGCCUUCUGGACUGACACUGACACUGAGGUGCGAAAGCGUGGGUAGCAAACAGGAUUAGAUACCCUAGUAGUC